GUGCCAGCCGCUGCGGUAAUACGUAGGGGGCGAGCGUUGUCCGGAAUUAUUGGGCGUAAAGGGCGCGUAGGCGGGUAUUUAAGUCCGGUGUGAAAGAUCAGGGCUCAACCCUGAGAGUGCAUCGGAAACUGGGUGCCUUGAGGACAGGAGAGGAAAACGGAAUUCCACGUGUAGCGGUGAAAUGCGUAGAUAUGUGGAGGAACACCGAGUGGCGAAGGCGACGUUUCUGGACUGUAACUGACGCUGAGCGCGAAAGCGUGGGAGCAAACAGGA
This 273-nucleotide ribosomal RNA is filed under the name uncultured Desulfosporosinus sp. Its description in RNAcentral is "partial 16S ribosomal RNA". It matches the Rfam family "Bacterial small subunit ribosomal RNA", at positions 505 to 777 of the family's 1533-position model. Lineage: Bacteria; Bacillati; Bacillota; Clostridia; Eubacteriales; Desulfitobacteriaceae. The record is from RNAcentral.